RNAcentral lists this ribosomal RNA (253 nucleotides) under uncultured bacterium. Its description in RNAcentral is "partial 16S ribosomal RNA". It matches the Rfam family "Bacterial small subunit ribosomal RNA", at positions 524 to 776 of the family's 1533-position model. The record is from RNAcentral.
UACGUAGGUGACCAGCGUUGUCCGGAUUUACUGGGCGUAAAGAGCGCGCAGGCGGUCGUUCAAGUCGAGUGUGAAAGCCCCCGGCUCAACUGGGGAGGGUCACGCGAUACUGGUCGACUCGAAGGCAGGAGAGGGUAGUGGAAUUCCCGGUGUAGUGGUGAAAUGCGUAGAUAUCGGGAGGAACACCAGUGGCGAAGGCGACUACCUGGCCUGUUCUUGACGCUGAGGCGCGAAAGCUAGGGGAGCAAACGGG